This 198-nucleotide ribosomal RNA is filed under the name uncultured bacterium. RNAcentral describes it as "partial 16S ribosomal RNA". It matches the Rfam family "Bacterial small subunit ribosomal RNA", at positions 328 to 539 of the family's 1533-position model. The record is from RNAcentral.
ACGCUCGACACCUACGGGAGGUAGCAGUGGGGAAUAUUGCACAAUGGGGGAAACCCUGAUGCAGCGACGCCGCGUGAGUGAAGAAGUAUUUCGGUAUGUAAAGCUCUAUCAGCAGGGAAGAAAAUGACGGUACCUGAGUAAGAAGCCCCGGCUAACUACGUGCCUGCAGCCGCGGUAAUCUGAGCGGGCUGGCAAGGC